Molecule: non-coding RNA, 911 nt
Organism: Lolium perenne
Lineage: Eukaryota; Viridiplantae; Streptophyta; Magnoliopsida; Poales; Poaceae
Source: RefSeq, a predicted model, not a curated record
GGCUACAUGCUUUGCGUUGUUUGAAGCCAGGUUUUAGCAAUGGUGUCAACCUCCAUUGAGCCGUUGCCGACCUCCACCGAGCAGUCGCUGCUUCUCCUAGGGCCCCUGUCUCGGUCCUCUCCAACAAGGGUAUAUAUCAAGAAGGUUGUUGGUGAAAGGGGCGAGUUCUGUAGACGAGUGCACCAUGGGAUGAAGGAGGUGAGAACCAGGGGCCUUUUGGCAAUGGCAUAUGUAUAUCUCAGUUGGAUGCUCUUAAGCAUGUAUUCGUGAGUAGAGUGAUGGAUGUCAAGGACUUUCCUGUAUGGAUUCGGCUUUCGUAUGUCUGUGCUUCUAAUGGUCUGGUACUCAUGGACGAGUUGUUGCAACUGUAUCACUGCGGUUGAAAUUGUUGAUCUUAGUCGGAACCAGUUUGCAAAUGUGGAUAAUCUAUGGAAAUGUACAAAGAUGCAAAAUCUGGACCUUGGAUUAAUCAUUUGCAUUCUGUUUCAUCCCUGAGUGAGGAUUUCUGAUGAAGGGUUGUGUUAGUUGAGGAUCCUUUAUUUUGUUGUUCAGGUGUGCCUUCGAGUCCAUCAGGUGUGCCCAGCAGAUGCUUGUAAAAGCAGGAGGGGAAACACUGGUCACUGGAGCUGCCACUGAACCUCCAUUGUUAGGUAAAUCUUGUGGCGAGCAGCGGAUGGUCGGAUAGCUGUGGCUGAUGGUGUGGAUGGCGUAGCGGAGGAUUAGAUGGGGUGGAGGGCAUGGAGGGAGGUGUAGCACAUCAAGGAGGGGUAGGGACAUAGGUCAAGAGGAAGAGACUGGACUGUUAGCGCAAAUCGGGAUGGGAUGAACGGUAUUAGCUGAAAAUAGUGGUGGAAAUUAUUUAUGCACGGGAAACAUUUGUAACAGUUCCUGUUUCCUGUGGUAUCGGUUAA